CCCUUAGACGUUCUGGGCCGCACGCGCGCUACACUGACCGGUGCAACAAGCAUCCGUCCUUGGCCGACAGGCCCGGGCAAUCUUUGAACGCCGGUCGUGAUGGGGAUAGACUUUUGCAAUUUUUGGUCUUCAACGAGGAAUUCCUAGUAAACGCAAGUCAUCAACUUGCAUUGAUUACGUCCCUGCGCUUUGUACACACCGCCCGUCGCACCUACCGAUUGAAUGGUCCGGUGAAGCCUCCGGAUUGGCGCGCACCUCGGUGCCGCCGAGAAGUUGGCUAAACCUUACCAUUUAGAGGAAGGUGAAGUCGUAACA
Molecule: ribosomal RNA, 315 nt
Filed under: uncultured eukaryote
Lineage: Eukaryota
Description: partial 18S ribosomal RNA
Rfam family: Eukaryotic small subunit ribosomal RNA
Source: RNAcentral